UUUACGUUCGACGAGCGAUGACAGCUGAGUAGUUCAACAAUUAAUGUCUGGUUUGAACAUGAUCCACAACGACUCUUCUUAUAAAAUGUGGCUGUUCAUAAGUCUUGAAGAUUACUCCAAAGCUAAUAAUCAUGCAUACACUCCUUGGUGACUGGUAGGGAGUGAAAACUGAUCGUAGAUGUGUUUAUGUUUUCCUUCGUCGUGUGCGCACAGUCACAGUGUGCUGCCAGCAGUGCCAGCGAGUGUGGACGACUGACACAUUAUGACAUACAGGCAGGACGACGAUGUUUUGGUGGCAUUGGCAACUUCAUCAUGUCCUCACAUAAUGACAGACUUUGACAAGUAGCUGGAUAGAUGUAGAUGUCUAUGGAGGAUCCUCUUCCGAGAAAGAUCAAAUUAUCCCCAGGUUACCUCAAGGAGUGGACCUGCGAGCUUAUUUUUGUAUGCUGGUCAACUCUGUGUGCUGACUGCUGAGUGCAUCAUCUAAGAUGGAAAAUGACACUAGGAAAAUUGCCUACCAGUCAACCAGCAUUUCUCCAACAUGGAUGCUUAGUUUCAUCUCUGAGUUGUGACAUGGAGGCUGGGAGAACUGCCUACCAGUCAACCAGCACCUCUUCACCAUGGAUGCUUAGUUUCAUCUCUGAGUUGUGACAUUGAGGAUGGGAGAACUGCCUAACAGUCAACCAGCAUCUCUUCACCAUGGAUUCUCAUUUGCUGAGUUUCAUUUCUGAGUUGAGAAUUUUAAAGUGUGCUGUUGUUCCUGGUCAAGGUCAAUCAAGCGUCGUGCUACUUACUGUGCGAACAUCUUCAUUACAUCUUAAACAUGUGUGCUGUUGUUCCUGGUCAAGGUCAAUCAAGCGUCAUGCUACUUACUGUGUGAACAUCUUCAUUACAUCUUAAACAUGGUCAGCUCCAAUUCUUAGAUGGGCUGUGAUGAUUGAUUCCAUUGGUUGACAUCUGCUUGUGAUUCCUUUGUGGGGCAACAACAUCUGUUUCCUACAUGGACAGCAAUGGCUGAUUCCUACAUGGACAGCAAUGGCUGAUUCCUACAUGGACAGCAAUGGCUGAUUCCUACAUGGAUAGUGGACAGUAACAUUUGGACUCCUACAUUGGCAGCAACUUCUGAUUCCUACAUGGACAGCAACAUCUGAUUCCUACAUUGGCAGCAACUUCUGAUUCCUACAUGGACAGACAUCUGAUUCCUACAUGGACAGCAACAUCUGAUUCCUACAUUGACAGCAAUGUCGAAUUCAUGCAUGGACAGUAAUGUUUUGAUUCCAGGCUACGUGGACAGAAACAUUCUGAUUCCUACAUGGACAGCAAAGUUAGUAACGCCUGAUUCCUACGUGGACAGUAACUUCUGACUCCUACAUGGACAAUGUUUGUGCACAUCUGAUUUGUGCAAAUUUUGUAGGAAAGAGAAUCUUAGUCAAGAAAAAGAACAAUUUGAGAUUAAAGGCUGUGUCACACGGGGGAAUUUACAGGCAACUAGUUCCAGGCAAUCUUUAAAAAGAAAAUUCAUUCGCAUUUCAGUUCCUACUAUUUCCUAGGGGGAUUGUGAUUUACAUGAAAAAUGUAUAUUUAUACUGCCAAAGUGUUCCUUGUGCAUGGUUGCCUCCAAGUUGCCUGUAAAAUGUUCCCAGUGUGACAACCUUAAUUGUUGUUACUUAAAGGCACUGGACACAUUUGGUCAUUGUCAAAGACCAGUAUUCUCAAAUAUAUGCAUCAAAUAACAAACCUGUACAAAUUUUGACUCAAUUGGUCAUCAAAGUUGCCAGAAAAUAAUAAAAGAAAAACGCCCUUCUUGCAUGCACCAAGUUUAUGUGCUUAGUUGGUAAAAGGCUUCAGUCCUAAAGUCUUUAUUAUUUGAGUGGGAAAUUACCUUUUUUCUCAAAAACUACAUCAAUU
Asterias rubens (European starfish) is the source of this 1908-nucleotide long non-coding RNA. RefSeq lists it as uncharacterized. Lineage: Eukaryota; Metazoa; Echinodermata; Asteroidea; Forcipulatida; Asteriidae. The record is from RefSeq and is a predicted model, not a curated record. The transcript has 5 exons.